GGAAUCUUCCACAAUGGACGCAAGUCUGAUGGAGCAACGCCUCGUGAGUGAAGAAGGCUUUCGGGUCGUAAAACUCUGUUGUUGGAGAAGAAUGGUCGGCAGAGUAACUGUUGCCGGCGUGACGGUAUCCAACCAGAAAGCCACGGCUAACUACGUGCCAGCAGCCGCGGUAAUACGUAGGUGGCAAGCGUUAUCCGGAUUUAUUGGGCGUAAAGCGAGCGCAGGCGGUUUGAUAAGUCUGAUGUGAAAGCCUUUGGCUUAACCAAAGAAGUGCAUCGGAAACUGUCAGACUUGAGUGCAGAAGAGGACAGUGGAACUCCAUGUGUAGCGGUGGAAUGCGUAGAUAUAUGGAAGAACACCAGUGGCGAAGGCGGCUGUCUGGUCUGCAACUGACGCUGAGGCUCGAAAGCAUGGGUAGCGAACA
RNAcentral lists this ribosomal RNA (424 nucleotides) under uncultured Lactobacillus sp. Its description in RNAcentral is "bacterial SSU rRNA". It matches the Rfam family "Bacterial small subunit ribosomal RNA", at positions 358 to 774 of the family's 1533-position model. The record is from RNAcentral. Lineage: Bacteria; Bacillati; Bacillota; Bacilli; Lactobacillales; Lactobacillaceae.